RNAcentral lists this ribosomal RNA (465 nucleotides) under uncultured bacterium. RNAcentral describes it as "partial 16S ribosomal RNA". It matches the Rfam family "Bacterial small subunit ribosomal RNA", at positions 339 to 795 of the family's 1533-position model. The record is from RNAcentral.
CUACGGGAGGCACCAGUGGGGAAUAUUGGACAAUGGGGGAAACCCUGAUCCAGCAAUGCCGCGUGUGUGAAGAAGGCCUGCAGGUUGUAAAGCACUUUCGGUUGGGAGGACUGCUUCUAGCACUAAUAUUGUUGGAAGUUGACGUUACCUUCAGAAGAAGCACCGGCUAACUCCGUGCCAGCAGCCGCGGCAAUACGGAGGGUGCAAGCGUUAAUCGGAAUUACUGGGCGUAAAGCGCGCGUAGGCGGCUAGAUCAGUCGGGUGUGAAAGCCCCGGGCUUAACCUGGGAACUGCAUCCGAUACUGUCUAGCUUGAGUACAGGAGAGGAGAGUGGAAUUCCACAUGUAGCGGUGAAAUGCGUAGAUAUGUGGAGGAACACCAAUGGCGAAGGCAGCUCUCUGGCCUGAUACUGACGCUGAGGUGCGAAAGCGUGGGGAGCAAACAGGAUUAGAUACCCUAGUAGUC